AGGCAAGGCACGAGCGCCGGGGAGCACGGCGCGGGCCUCCUCCUCUCUCCGUCUCCCAGAGGGAGUCGAGAUCCCCCGCUCCCGCCCCUUCGCUUGUUGGGACCUCCAGGACCUCUUCUAGUGUCAUACUAAGCAGAAGAGAUCUGUGAGGCUCCGAUUUAAAAAUACUGUUUUACAGGCUGAUUUUGACAGGGCUGCAGAAGAUGUGAGGAAGCUGAAAGCAAGACCAGAUGAUGGAGAACUGAAAGAACUCUAUGGGCUUUACAAACAAGUGAUAGUUGGAGACAUUAAUAUUGCAUGUCCAGGAAUGCUAGAUUUAAAAGGCAAAGCCAAAUGGGAAGCAUGGAACCUCAAAAAAGGGUUGUCGACGGAAGAUGCGAUGAGUGCCUAUAUUUCUAAAGCAAAGGAGCUGAUAGAAAAAUAUGGAAUUUAGAAUACAGCAUAUAAGGAAUUUUUCCUUUUGAAGCCUUCCAAAU
Molecule: small RNA, 476 nt
Filed under: Pongo abelii (Sumatran orangutan)
Lineage: Eukaryota; Metazoa; Chordata; Mammalia; Primates; Hominidae
Description: processed transcript
Source: RNAcentral